RNAcentral lists this long non-coding RNA (3174 nucleotides) under Mus musculus (house mouse). Its description in RNAcentral is "long non-coding RNA chr18:60538637-60541811". Lineage: Eukaryota; Metazoa; Chordata; Mammalia; Rodentia; Muridae. The record is from RNAcentral.
UUUUUUUUUUUUUUUAACUUUUUUAAUGACUCAUUUUUAUUUCGUGUGAGUUGAUGUUUGCUUACAUGUUUGUCUGUAUGAGGGUGUUGGAUCCUUUGGAGCUACAGACAGCUGUGAGCUGCCAUGUGGGUGCUAGGAAUUGAACCUGGGUCCUCUGGAAAAGUAGCCAGUGCUCUAACUACUGAGCCAUCUCUCUCAGAUAGAAUAAUACUAUUUAAUUUUCUUAGAAUUGGUAAAGUAGCCUUUAUAGAUCUAAUACUUUUCUAAAAUCAAACUUAAUACCAUUUUUUAAGUAUAUUUCUUGAACUAGAGCUGUAGCUCAGUUGGUAGAAUGCUUGCCUAGCACUUGUGAAGCACUGGGUUCAGUCCCCACCCUGCAUAACCCAGGUAUAGUAGCUUACACCUAUAAUCCCAGCACUUCGGAGGGAGAGGGAGGGGUAACAAAGGUCCAGGGUCAUUCUUGCCUGCCUGGGGCUCAGAGCCAUCCUGGGCUAUGUGAAACUCUGCCUCAAAUUUUUCUUUUAAAUCUGAAAUGUAAACAUCAUGGACAAAAUUAUAAGUGAAUAACUUAGAACACCAAGACUCAGAAAUAAUAGACUAAAGAUGACUAACCAAAACUAAAGAGCCUUUGUCUAUUUUCAAGAGAGACAGGAAGAGCACAGCAAAGGAGUUGAACAGUGGAUCUCAUAACUGAACAUAAAAAAUGAUCAUCUUAAAAAGUGUUCAUCUUGGGGAGGGCUCCCCUUUAUCAGAGAAGAACGGGAGAGUGGGUGGGGGAAGGGCUAAGAAAGAGGGGUGCUAGAAGGAGGGGGGCUGGGAUUGAGACAUAAAGUGAAUGAAUAAAUGGGGGAAAAAAACAACAAAAAAAAGUGUUCAUCUUAACUACAGAUUUUGAAAAUACAAGUGAAAACCUUAUUCCACAAAUAUUUUUUUUAAAUAUGAUUUAUAUCAUGUUAGCCAAACAGGUUAAUUCUCAUUACCAUCUCCCUAAUAAGUUAAUUUAUUUCUACUUUUUGCUUGUUUGUUCGUGUGUGUGUGUGUUUGUGUGUGUGUGUGUGUGUGUGUGUGUGUGUGUGUGUGUGUGUGUGCGCGCGCCUGAUUGGAGGCUAGAGGACAACUCUCAAAAGUUGGUACUCCCCACCGUUUGAGUUUUGGGACUCUAACUCAGGUCUUUAGGCUUAGUGCUCUGAAAGAGCAGCCAGUGCUCUUAACUGCUAAGCCGUCUCUCCAGCUCCAGCUGUUUAUUUAUAUGUUGUUCAUAUGGGUAGUCAGCCAACGUGGGUCACAUGGGUGCAGUGCCCAUGGAGGCCAGAAAAGGAUGUUCUGGAACUGGAGUUAUAGACGGUUGAAAGCCUCUACUCUACGUGGUGCUGGGAAUUGAGCCAGGGUCCUGUAUAAGAGCAACAGUGUUCUCAGCUACUGAGCUCUUUUAGUUUGUGUUUGUUUUAUUUUGUGACAGUUUCACUCUGUUGCAAACUGGUAUAAUAGAAAUGGUGAUUCUUGGAUCUGCACCAGGUCGUGUGUAUAUUAUGGAUUCCAAUUCAGUGUCUUUAUGGGAUUCCUGAGUGUGCAGAUGAAUGGAUCUCUGAUUAUUGUAUCUUUUCUCGGCUGUUUUCCUGCUGUUUAUUUGUUUUGUCCAAUUCUGAUGUGUUAGUUUUGUUUUAUCUUUUUGUACCUUUUUUAUUUUUUUUAAACAUUUUUUUUAAAGUAAUGGUGAUUUUUGUGUUCAGCAUCCAGUGUUUCAGAAUUAUAGGCAUGAGUCACCACACCUGACUAGUUUCUAUUUUCUUUAUUAUUUGUCAUACAUAUAGCAUCUUUAGCAAUGUGCAUACAGAUCUUUUUGUCUUUUUUUUUUUUUUUUAGAAACAACAACAAAAAAAGGUCAUCUUGCCUCUACUUCUUAAAUACUGGAAUUAUAGACACAUACUAAACUACCAUAUCUGGUUCCUUUUGCCCACUUGGUGUCGUGUGUGUGUGUGUGUGUGUGUGUGAGAGAGAGAGAGAGAGAGAGAGAGAGAGAGUUUAUAUUUUGUAUUUUGUUUCCUGUCAAAGAGAUUUUAGCCUAAUCCACUUGUGAAGGUCUACUUGUAUGCUUGUAGAAAUGUUAGUUUUAGGUUCCCGCCUGUUGUCUAUUUCUCAGAUAAGUUCUGCACAUUUUUUAAUGCUCAAGGGUUUUGAGGUUGGGGGAUUUGUUCUGUGCAGAUCCAGUUACUACAGCACUGCUUAUUUAGAAUCUGUAUCAUUCUGCAGAUAAGAGCAGGAUUUCUAGAUUCUGCCUGCUUCCUGAGUUGGUUUCCUGACUCUGCCACUUACUAUCCAUGUACCGUUAGACCUGUAAGCAGUUCUGAGCUUUGGCUUUCUCCUCUAUAAAAUGGGAGCAGUUAGAGUACUCGACCUCAGAAUGUACUAUGAGAACGGAAAGACUGGAGUAUUUCUGGUGCCUGGAACAGCCCCUGUGCUUCAGUUGCUGGUGCUGUUGGUGAUCAUUAGCGCCCUCCUCAUGUUAAAGAGAAAAGGUUCUGCUGGACUUGUAGCCUAGGCCUAUAAUCCUAGCUACUUAGGAAGCUGAGGCAGGAGGAUUACAAAAUCUACACUUGCCUGGGACACAGCAGGGCCAGCUCUGGCAACUUAACAGGAUUGUGUCUUAAACAUUUAGAAAUAAGACUGAUGAGAUGGCUCAGUGGGUAAAAGCUCUUGCUGCAUAAACUUGACUACCUGAGUUGUUUAAAAGGCUUGGUCAAUGGUGGGCAAAGCCUUAGGUUCAGUCCCUAGUACUGGAAAGAAAGGGGCUUGCAGGGAGCUCUUCUUAGCGUGUCAGUCCAUAAGGUUUCUGGUGUUCUUUCUUGGAAAUUCUGUGCUUUUUAUGUUUUUACUUUAUGGCAACAUUUUAUGAAAAUAAAAAGGUAAAAUUACUGUUUAAUGUUUAUUUUCUAGCUAGUGGUGGUUGGCAAGAACCAGAAAACCCUCACACACAACGGGUAAGUACAUGAACAUAGGCCUUAGAGGAUGAAGCAGGAAGGGUGGCAGGUGUGACCCGUGCUGAGAACUGCCUGCAUUUAUGCCCAGGGUUCAGUUACUCACAGAGAGCCACUAAGUCAGUGGCAGUGUUCUUCUCUGUUACAUAAAUUCGUGGAGAACACUGUAGUUUUGGUUCUGUGUUCCAGAUAAUAUUUC